GGCCGCGUGGCGAAAUGGCAUCGCGUCUGACUACGAAUCAGGAGAUUCCAGGUUCGACCCCUGGCGUGGUCA
Non-coding RNA from Pluteus cervinus, 72 nucleotides. NCBI's taxonomy places the organism in Eukaryota, Fungi, Basidiomycota, Agaricomycetes, Agaricales, Pluteaceae. The record is from the annotation of a GenBank genome assembly.